Molecule: ribosomal RNA, 1363 nt
Filed under: Micromonospora sp.
Lineage: Bacteria; Bacillati; Actinomycetota; Actinomycetes; Micromonosporales; Micromonosporaceae
Description: bacterial SSU rRNA
Rfam family: Bacterial small subunit ribosomal RNA
Source: RNAcentral
CCUUCGGGGUACUCGAGCGGCGAACGGGUGAGCUAACACCGGGAGCAACCCCGCCCCUUAGGCUUUGGGGAUAACCCUCGGAAAAGGGGGCUUAAUACCGGGAUACAACCCUUUGGGUGCCCUAAAACUGGGGGUGGAAAAUUUUUCGGGCCUGGGAAUGGGCUCGCGGGCCUAUUCAGCUUGUUGGUGGGGGUGAUGGCCUAACCAAGGCGACGAACGGGUAGCCCGCCCUGAGAGGGCGACCGGCCACCACUGGGACUGAGACACGGGCCCAGACUCCUACGGGAAGGCAGCAGUGGGGAAUAUUGCACAAUGGGCGGAAGCCUGAUGCAGCGACGCCGCGUGAGGGAUGACGGCCUUCGGGUUGUAAACCUCUUUCAGCAGGGACGAAGCGCAAGUGACGGUACCUGCAGAAGAAGCGCCGGCCAACUACGUGCCAGCAGCCGCGGUAAGACGUAGGGCGCGAGCGUUGUCCGGAUUUAUUGGGCGUAAAGAGCUCGUAGGCGGCUUGUCGCGUCGACCGUGAAAACUUGGGGCUCAACCCCAAGCCUGCGGUCGAUACGGGCAGGCUAGAGUUCGGUAGGGGAGACUGGAAUUCCUGGUGUAGCGGUGAAAUGCGCAGAUAUCAGGAGGAACACCGGUGGCGAAGGCGGGUCUCUGGGCCGAUACUGACGCUGAGGAGCGAAAGCGUGGGGAGCGAACAGGAUUAGAUACCCUGGUAGUCCACGCUGUAAACGUUGGGCGCUAGGUGUGGGGGGCCUCUCCGGUUCUCUGUGCCGCAGCUAACGCAUUAAGCGCCCCGCCUGGGGAGUACGGCCGCAAGGCUAAAACUCAAAGGAAUUGACGGGGGCCCGCACAAGCGGCGGAGCAUGCGGAUUAAUUCGAUGCAACGCGAAGAACCUUACCUGGGUUUGACAUGGCCGCAAAACCUUCAGAGAUGAGGGGUCCUUCGGGGGCGGUCACAGGUGGUGCAUGGCUGUCGUCAGCUCGUGUCGUGAGAUGUUGGGUUAAGUCCCGCAACGAACGCAACCCUCGUUCGAUGUUGCCAGCGCGUUAUGGCGGGGACUCAUCGAAAACUGCCGGGGUCAACUCGGAAGAAAGGUGGGGAAUAACGUCAAGUCAUCAUGCCCCUUUAUGUCCAGGGCUUCACCCAAGCCAAAAAGGGCCGGUACAAUGGGCUGCGAAAACCGUGAGGUGGAGCGAAUCCCAAAAAGCCGGUCUCAGUUCGGAUCGGGGUCUGCAACUCGACCCCGUGAAGUCGGAGUCGCUAGUAAUCGCAGAUCAGCAACGCUGCGGUGAAUACGUUCCCGGGCCUUGUACACACCGCCCGUCACGUCACGAAAGUCGGCAACACCCGAAGCCG